This 125-nucleotide small nucleolar RNA is filed under the name Octodon degus (degu). RNAcentral describes it as "Small nucleolar RNA SNORA42/SNORA80 family (ENSODEG00000024841.1)". Lineage: Eukaryota; Metazoa; Chordata; Mammalia; Rodentia; Octodontidae. The record is from RNAcentral.
GUAUGGAUUUGUAUUUGUGGCAGCCCCAUCCCCCAGGCUGUCAGUGUCCUGUGCUGGAACAAACCAUGGCCCAGGACCAUUACCUCUGCCCGUAGGCCAUUGGCACUGAAGCAGGGCACGCAGUG